GAUUUCUGGGCUCAAGAAUUUGGCCGGCCACGGUUUCGUGUGUUAGUGCUUUGUUCUGUGUCCAUCCUUCCAAUUGCUAUUGGCUAUUCUUCAUUGAUUGGUCAGUAGUAUUGGAUCUUUUACUUUGAAAAAAUUAGAGUGUUUCAAGCAGGCUUUAUGCUAUGAAUACAUUAGCAUGGAAUAAUAAUUUAGGACUUCUGUUCUAUUUUGUUGGUUUCUAGAACUAAAGUAAUGAUUGAUAGGGAUAGUUGGGGGUGCUAGUAUUCAGAGGCCAGAGGUGAAAUUCUUGGAUUCCCUGAAGACUAACUUAAGCGAAAGCAUU
Molecule: ribosomal RNA, 322 nt
Filed under: uncultured Sandona
Lineage: Eukaryota; Cercozoa; Glissomonadida
Description: SSU rRNA
Rfam family: Eukaryotic small subunit ribosomal RNA (bases 113-322)
Source: RNAcentral